RNAcentral lists this non-coding RNA (1159 nucleotides) under Pan troglodytes (chimpanzee). The record is from RNAcentral. Lineage: Eukaryota; Metazoa; Chordata; Mammalia; Primates; Hominidae.
CUCUUUGGUUCCCCCUGUGGCUGCUGCGGGGCUGCGGGGCUGCGGGGCUGCGGGGCUGCGGGGCUGCGGGGCUGCGGGGCUGCGGGGCUGCGGGGCUGCGGGGCUGCGGGCGGUGGGAGAUGACGGGGGUGGGAGCGGGAGCGGGAGCAGGGGCGGGAGCGGGAGCGGGAGUGGGAGUGCUCAGCCUCUCGGGUCGCCUGGAUAUUUAUGAAAAGGACGCCAGGGAAAGGGCUCCGCUGUAGACCGAAGGGAUAAGGGUUCGAUUCGGAAGGGAGCGUUAUUUUUAUCCCCUCUCCACAUAAUGGAACGUUUAAAUGGUUAAAUCAAGUACCUUGCAGGAGAGGGUGGGGUGGCCUUGAGAAUACACUCAAGGCCUCAGUACAUGCAGUCUGGAAGUGGGGGAAUCAAGAGCACCCUGUCUCUAGUACUGUCCUCAAUGAUAAGGCGCUGAGGUUCCCAACCUGGACCAAGAAGUACAUAUUCAGGUUCAAAGGGUAAACCAAAACAAAACCUGAGCUCUCUCUCUAGAAUGAAGUGCCUGGUCCCAGUUCACCAUCUAAUAUUUAUGGAAAGCUUAUCAGAGAACAGAAGUGUCAGCAGAGGACUGUAAGUGCUAUGUGAUUGGACGAUGGUGGCCAUAGAAUUUCACCUGCCCAGCACGUAUUCUCUCAUCCUCUCCUCCUCUGCCUUCUUUGGGAGGGAGAAAUCAGAAGGAGUGGGGAUGCAGUUCAGAGAGCAGAGGAGAAGAGAAGAAAAGAAGGAAGAAGGAAGAGGACUAGGGUUGGGUGAGGGGGGAGGACACCAAUGGGAAGAGGGACAGAUCAACUCUAUACACAAAAGUAAAUCAAAACACCAAAAACAGGGGUCUAUGUAAAGAAGCCUCUUCCCGUGAAUUGCUCGUUGCAUAGCUGCAGGGAGGGUGUUUAGGGGCAUAGAGAAUGAAAACAUACCUGUAUUUUGGUGUAGGGAAAUUGUUUCUGUCAAUUCACACCGUCCACACACCACCUCCCACCCCAACCCCGCCACUACCAAAUUCCUCUAAAUAAAAAUAAUUAUGAGAUACAGGCCAACAAAAACGUCAGCGUUAGGCUGUUAUUUAGAGAGAAUUGGAAAGCGUUUGAAUGUGGCCCUGUUGUUUAAUAAACGAUAACAAUGAUUA